GAUGAAGAACGUAGCGAAAUGCGAUAAGUAGUGUGAAUUGCAGAAUUCAGUGAAUCAUCGGAUCUUUGAACGCACAUUGCGCCCUUUGGUAUUCCAAAGGGCAUGCCUGUUCGAGCGUCAUUUGUACCCUCAAGCUUUGCUUGGUGUUGGGCGUCUUGUCUCUAGCUUUGCUGGAGACUCGCCUUAAAGUAAUUGGCAGCCGGCCUACUGGUUUCGGAGCGCAGCACAAGUCGCACUCUCUAUCAGCAAAGGUCUAGCAUCCAUUAAGCCUUUUUUUCAACUUUUGACCUCGGAUCAGGUAGGGAUACCCGCUGAACUUAAGCAUAUCAAUAAGCGGAGGA
Molecule: unclassified non-coding RNA, 341 nt
Filed under: soil metagenome
Description: partial contains 5.8S ribosomal RNA, internal transcribed spacer 2, and large subunit ribosomal RNA
Rfam family: 5.8S ribosomal RNA (bases 1-120)
Source: RNAcentral